This 1248-nucleotide long non-coding RNA is filed under the name Mytilus galloprovincialis (Mediterranean mussel). Lineage: Eukaryota; Metazoa; Mollusca; Bivalvia; Mytilida; Mytilidae. The record is from RNAcentral.
UAAACACAGAUUUUUUUUCUCAUUUACAGUAUUAAUGCCUUAAUUCAAACAAUUGGGUCAUCAUGACCUAUAUUAAAAUUUUUAAUUACUCUAAUUCAAUUUUGCAUUUUGGAUAAAUGUGGUGAGUUCAUUUGAUAUUGUCAAGUUUUAAAAAGUCAUGUGACUGUUAUAUAUAGAUGAAUACAUGUGUGUCAAACAAAGUUUAGUAUCAUGUAAAUAAUGUGUAAACUAUUCUUUUUUACGGUACAUAUUGCUGACAUUGAUAUAUGUUGUUAGUCUUUUAUUGGGAUAAAGAUUGCAAUCAUACAAAGAAAAGCUUUAUGUGGCUGCUUUUAAAAAAUCAAUAAUGUCAUUGUUAAAGUUAUAGUUAAAAAUUGAGUUAUCUUCCUUUGUCCAUUAUUGUAGAUGACCAAUUCAUAGUGUAACACAAUGCAAAGUUUAAUUUUCAGCUCUAAAUGAAGAAUUAAUGAAAUAUUUCUACCCUCUAGUGCUCAUGACAAGCGCUUUUAUUUGUAAUUAUGCAUUUUAUUUGCACAUCUUUAAUAAAGCGUACAUGUACAUUAUUCAUAUAAUUUGUUGAAAACUGAGAUAAUUUUGCUUAAAUGCUGUUAGAACCACAAUACUUACCUUGAUUAAGUUCAAAAAUUUCAAAUCAGCUGAAAAAAUCAUAAUUUUCCAUUAAUCAUGCUAAUUGUGAAUCUAUUUUAGUGUAUGGCCAGGGGGGGGGGGUAUUUAUUGCUCUUUGAAUAAGUACUGGAUCAGUCUUGUUAUUCUUUUUAAAUUUGAAUUUUUAUUUGUUGCUGGUUGUUUAAGUCUGUAUAGUGUUCUUAAAUUUGCAUUUAGACAAAGCAAAUAUAUUUACUGCAAUUACUCAGUUGUACAUGAAGAAAAAAAAUGGUAAUUUUGUAAGAGGGGAAAACUUUUUCACAAAAUUAUUUCAAUGAAUGGGAGAUAACUUGCUGGAUGUUACCAAAAUCUCCAAAUUUAACAAUAAAUUGUGAAUCGAAUGGAUUCAUUAUUUGUUUAGGACUUUACUUUUGUAAAAUACUGUAAAUUCAUGUUUUGCAUUUAAGUCUAUGUUUUAGUCAAUUGCUUUCAUUAAUUUUAACUAUUUGAAUAUUAUUUGUUUUACAAGUGUUACAAGUGUGUUCUGUAUUAAAAAUAUUUCUCUACUUUGUGAAUACUCUAGGACUUGCCAUUGAUAAUUGAAUAUUCUUAUGUAAAUAUUUAAGAUAAUGGUUAGCUUAA